AACGAACGCUGGCGGCAGGCUUAACACAUGCAAGUCGAACGCAUCCUUCGGGGUGAGUGGCAGACGGAUGAGUAACGCGUGGGAACGUGCCCUUCAGUUCGGGAUAACCCAGGGAAACUUGGGCUAAUACCGGAUACGUGCGAGAGCAGAAAGAUUUAUCGCUGAAGGAUCGGCCCGCGUCUGAUUAGCUAGUUGGUGGGGUAAUGGCUCACCAAGGCGACGAUCAGUAGCUGGUCUGAGAGGUGGAUCAGCCACAUUGGGACUGAGACACGGCCCAAACUCCUACGGGAGGCAGCAGUGGGGAAUAUUGGACAAUGGGCGCAAGCCUGAUCCAGCCAUGCCGCGUGAGUGAUGAAGGCCUUAGGGUUGUAAAGCUCUUUCGUCCGGGACGAUAAUGACGGUACCGGAAGAAGAAGCCCCGGCUAGCUUCGUGCCAGCCGCCGCCGUAA
This 449-nucleotide ribosomal RNA is filed under the name uncultured bacterium. RNAcentral describes it as "partial 16S ribosomal RNA". It matches the Rfam family "Bacterial small subunit ribosomal RNA", at positions 29 to 523 of the family's 1533-position model. The record is from RNAcentral.